UACUAAUGAAAACAUAUCCACAUUAAAACCUGCGCUUGGGUGCUUAUAGCAGUUUUAUUCAUAAUUCCUGAAACCUGGAAAUAACCAAGAUGUCCUUCAGUAGAAGAAUGGGUAAGUAAACUGUGGUACAUUCAGAGAAUGGAAUAUCAUAUCAGUGCUAAAAAGAAAUGAACUGUCAAGCCACUAAAAGACAUGGGGAAAAUGUAUAUGCAUUUUCCUAAGUUAAAAAAAAAAAAAAAGCCAGUCUGAAAAGGCUGCAUGCUGUAUAAUUCUAACUAUAUGUCAUUCUGGAAAAGGCAAAACAGGGAGACAGUAAAAAGAUCAGCCGUUGCCAGGAAGUGGAGAGAAGAAAGAGAUAAAUAAGCAAAGCAUGAAGGAUAUUUAGGGCAAUGAGACUAUUCUAUGUGAUACUACAAUGGUGGAUACAUUUAAUUAUAUGUUUGCCAAAACUCAUAAAAUAUACACCACCAUGAGGCAGGUCUAAUGUAAACUAUGAACUUUGGGUGAUAAUGUGUCAAGGUAGGUUCAUCAAAUGUAGGUAGCAAAUGUUGCACUGUGCUGUGGGGUGUCAAUAGUGAGGGAGAUUAUAUACUUGUGGGAUUAGGGAAGUAUAUGGGAACUCUCUGUACUUUUGUUCAAUUUUGCUGUGAACAAAAAAUUGCUCUAAAAAAGUGCCUAAUUUUUAAAAAAUGAAUUGGUAUGGCUGAAUUCUCUAAUGAAAUAUUCUGGAAAUAUAAGAAUAAUUUUUCAGAAUUUUAAUCAUUUAUUUCCACUAAACUAUAAAAUAUAGAGGUAAAACAUAAUUUAUUUUCAUGUUGAUUUACACUGGGUUUACAAUUUAUAGAAUGAAGGACAAUAAGAAAUUGUUCUUUUCUUAAGAAGGGACUUCAGAGUGGUAUUAGCAGUUGAGACAAAACCAAAACACAAAACUCACCUCAUGAGGAUUUUAGAAGGGGGGGGAUGGGUGAGUCCAGUGAUGGGUAUUAUGGAGGGCAAGGAUUGCAUGGAGCUCUGGGUAUUACACGCAAACAAUGAAUCAUGGAACACUACAUCAAAAACUAAUGGUGUCCUGUAUGGUGACUAACAUAACGCAAUUUUAAAAAAAGAAUGCUGGCAGGAAAUUGAUACAAGUUUAAAAAUACAUGAAGGGAUACUUGGGGCAAGAUUUGUAAUAUAAUCCUCCAGACUGGAAAUGGUUGGUUAUGUAUUAUUCUAUAGUUUGACUCAGUGGAAUCAAACAGAAUAAGAUGAAGUGCUUUUAAGUUAUUUUUCAGGUUUAUUAAUCUUUCCGAGAUAAGGGACUGUAUGUGGAAACAGAGCCAUCCGGAAAACUAUGAAGAAAUAUUUCAGCCAUUCAAAAGGAAACAAAGUAGAAGGACUGAGAAUUGGAUAGAAGACUUUGUGGUGUUGACGAGUAUUUAAAUGCCCUCGGCCUUUAAGGAAAUUCUACUGAAAUCAACAUCAGUGAGGUUUUUGUGCUGAUGAAUUUAGUUAAUUCUAACUUCUUACACAGGCUGUCAUUUAGUUCCGGUGCUGUUGCAGACAUUAAGGAUACUGAUACUCAUUUCAUCAUACUCAGAUCACUGAGAUACCUACAUUAUGAAUAAGCAAGGAGACAGGAAGGAAGCCAAGAAAAGAAAGUGAAGAUUCUGAAGUAAAUGGGUACUUGCUUUGACUAAGAUCGAAACCCACCUCUCCCCAGAGAAUAUUAGAAGAGGGCAUGGAAGACAAGCAUUGGAAAAGUAGAAUGUUUGUGCUUUUCUUUCUGGUGAACUGCAUUAAAAAUUCAGCAAAAGGGGGAUCACUUUACAUUACUCUUCUUGUUUAGCAUGUAUCGACUGACAGGUGCUGUAAACAUACAUAGACAAACAUGGUCCUGUGCUAGCAGUGCUCCAGUGACUGAGGGAAGACAGUGUUUAAUCUCCCAAAGUGAUCACACUGAGGACUUUGCAGACACACUAUGCUGAGAUUGCAGAAGAGGUCAUAAAUACUUUAUUUCCCAUAAAAUGACAGGAGCUUGCCUUUCAACUUUGAUUCUCAAAAAAAUCCAUCUGGAGAGAUGGUGUUGUUCUGGCAAUAAGUUACUAAGUUAGAGCAAUCCUCUUUUGAUUCCAAGCACUUGACUGUAACCCUUGCUGGUACUUUGGAAAUAUCGGUAGCAGAAAGCACCCAAGAGGCACCUCGGUCUUCUGCAUGUCUUGCUUUGCUGGAGGUAAAACCACCAAUCCGCAUGCCUUUGAUUUCUCUAAGGGUAGAACCUCAGCAAUCAAGGAGAGAGAACUGACCUUGGCUUUGAGAUCAGAACCAGUAUUUAAAACAUUGACUCAUUUGUGUUUUAGAGAUGUCAGGGUAAAUAAAUUAUAAAUGUUUAUAUUGAAGACUAAGAGGAUCCUUUUCCUACACUAUAGGCAGUGAUUUGGCUGAGAUUGUAUCAU
Molecule: long non-coding RNA, 2435 nt
Organism: Mustela lutreola (European mink)
Lineage: Eukaryota; Metazoa; Chordata; Mammalia; Carnivora; Mustelidae
Exons: 4
Source: RefSeq, a predicted model, not a curated record